GAUGAACGCUGGCGGCGUGCCUAAUACAUGCAAGUCGAGCGAACAGACGAGGAGCUUGCUCCUCUGACGUUAGCGGCGGACGGGUGAGUAACACGUGGAUAACCUACCUAUAAGACUGGGAUAACUUAGGGAAACCGGAGCUAAUACCGGAUAAUAUAUUGAACUGCAUGGUUCAAUAGUGAAAGACGGUUUUGCUGUCACUUAUAGAUGGAUCCGCGCCGCAUUAGCUAGUUGGUAAGGUAACGGCUUACCAAGGCAACGAUGCGUAGCCGACCUGAGAGGGUAGUCGGCCACACUGUAACUGAGACACGGUCCAGACUCCUACGGGAAGCAGCAGUAGAGAAUCUUCCGCGAUGAACGAGAGCCUGACGGAGCAACGCCGCGUGAGUGAUGAAGGUCUUCGGAUCGUAGAACUCUGUUAUUAGGGAAGAACAAAUGUGUAAGUAACUAUGCACGUCUUGACAGUACCUAAUCAGAAAGCCACGGCUAACUACGUG
Molecule: ribosomal RNA, 497 nt
Filed under: uncultured bacterium
Lineage: Bacteria
Description: partial 16S ribosomal RNA
Rfam family: Bacterial small subunit ribosomal RNA
Source: RNAcentral